CGACCGGCGCACGGGUGAGUAACACGUAUCCAACCUGCCGAUGACUCGGGGAUAGCCUUUCGAAAGAAAGAUUAAUACCCGAUGGCAUAGUUCUUCCGCAUGGUAGAACUAUUAAAGAAUUUCGGUCAUCGAUGGGGAUGCGUUCCAUUAGCUUGUUGGCGGGGUAACGGCCCACCAAGGCGACGAUCAGUAGCCGGCCUGAGAGGGCGGACGGCCACAUUGGGACUGAGACACGGCCCAGACUCCUACGGAAGGCAGCAG
This 261-nucleotide ribosomal RNA is filed under the name uncultured bacterium. RNAcentral's name for it is "partial 16S ribosomal RNA". It matches the Rfam family "Bacterial small subunit ribosomal RNA", at positions 92 to 354 of the family's 1533-position model. The record is from RNAcentral.